GAUGAAGAACGUAGCGAAAUGCGAUAAGUAAUGUGAAUUGCAGAAUUCAGUGAAUCAUCGAAUCUUUGAACGCACAUUGCGCCCGCUAGUAUUCUGGCGGGCAUGCCUGUUCGAGCGUCAUUUCAACCAUCAAGCCCCAGGCUUGAGUUGGGGACCUGCGGCUGCCGCAGGCCCUGAAAACCAGUGGCGGGCUCGCUGUCACACCGGGCGUAGUAGAUUUUAUCUCGCUCAGGGCGUGCUGCGGGUUCCGGCCGUUAAAAAGCCUUUUUUACCCAAGGUUGACCUCGGAUCAGGUAGGAAGACCCGCUGAACUUAAGCAUAUCAAUAAGCGGAGGA
Molecule: unclassified non-coding RNA, 336 nt
Filed under: soil metagenome
Description: partial contains 5.8S ribosomal RNA, internal transcribed spacer 2, and large subunit ribosomal RNA
Rfam family: 5.8S ribosomal RNA (bases 1-120)
Source: RNAcentral